This 503-nucleotide ribosomal RNA is filed under the name uncultured bacterium. RNAcentral describes it as "partial 16S ribosomal RNA". It matches the Rfam family "Bacterial small subunit ribosomal RNA", at positions 30 to 523 of the family's 1533-position model. The record is from RNAcentral.
AUUGAACGCUGGCGGCAGGCUUAAAACAUCCAAGUCGAGCGGAGAUGAGGUGCUUGCACUAUCACUUAGCGGCGGACGGGUGAGUAAUGCUUAGGAUUCUGCCUAUUAGUGGGGGACAACUCCCCGAAAGGAAUGCUAAUACCGAAUACGUCUUACGGGAAAAAGCAGGGGACACCUUGUGACCUUGCGCUAAUAGAUGAGCCUAAGUCGGAUUAGCUAGUUGGUGGGGUAAAGGCCUACCAAGGCGACGAUAUGUAGCGGGUCUGAGAGGAUGAUCCGCCACACUGGGACUGAGACACGGCCCAGACUCCUACGGGAGGCAGCAGUGGGGAAUAUUGGACAAUGGGGGGAACCCUGAUCCAGCCAUGCCGCGUGUGUGAAGAAGGCCUUAUGGUUGUAAAGCACUUUAAGCGAGGAGGAGGCUCUUUUGGUUAAUACCCAAGAUGAGUGGACGUUACUCGCAGAAUAAGCACCGGCUAACUCUGUGCCAGCAGCCGCCGUAA